CCCCUCCCUCUCGCUUCCGCCCACAUAGUUAUGAGAUAACCUAACCCCUAUCUAUGAACCUUGGCGUUCACCAGAAUAAUCCGAGUGCAAUCCGAUUAAUUUGCGCUGAAACGCUGACAGUUUUUUUACUAGUGAACGACCGACGUUUGACAUUCGAUUGAGAGUGUUCUGUGUUCCAUUUGUUUAUGUUUUUAUUCUUUGUUUAUAAAAUUUAUAACCUAGACAGUUUUGUUUUUAAAUAAAACUGAAACUGUGUCUAAACCAAUGCUAAACUAAAAUGGAUAAUAUUCUUGAAGAAUUUUUGUUUGGGGACGAAAUUAGCAAAUGCCGUUAUACAUUUAGCAGAUGUACCUACCUCAAAUUAUUCCAGAAGGAUGAGAUGAAAUUAUAUAUAUAAACCAUAAUUCAAUAUCCAAUUUAGAGAACAUUUUCGUAUGUCCAGAACUACUUUCCAGGAACUAUUUAAUUGUAUUGGUCAUAUCCACCAAUUUGAAAACAGAAUAAUUCUAUUGGAAAAAAAUUAAUGUUUAUGAUUUGGAUGCUAAGUAAACCAGAGAAUUUGUUGCUGGGGAUACGUUUGGUUUGCCAAAGAGCUCUGGACAUAAGAUUUUCACCCAAAUAAUAUAGAAUUACAAAAAAUUGGAAAUAACUAAUCUUGAAUAUCAAUGUGUAUAUUGAGUUUAAUUUUAUUGUAAAUAUUCUAUAAUAUAAUUUUAUUGUAAAUAUUGUAUUAACCCAUUUGUGGACACAUCUUCAUAUGCAGACAGUAAUUUCCCUUUGUAAGUACAUGCAUAUAUAGUCGUAUCUGCGAAUGGGUUAAUUGUAAAUCGUAAUCAAUAAAAAUUUUUUGUGAAUCAAUAAAAAACUGGUUUGUUUGAAAAUAAAUGUAGUACAAAUGUG
Long non-coding RNA from Diabrotica virgifera virgifera (western corn rootworm), 900 nucleotides. RefSeq lists it as uncharacterized. Lineage: Eukaryota; Metazoa; Arthropoda; Insecta; Coleoptera; Chrysomelidae. The record is from RefSeq and is a predicted model, not a curated record. The transcript is spliced from 2 exons.